UGGUGCAUGUAUUGUAAUCGUAGCAUAUUCAGACCAUUUUAGGUAUUAACAGUUAAAACAUCAACUCAGUGCUUGCAUUUUUGUCAGUCGUCCUCUGAAUAGCAAAUGACAAAAGCUCAGUGCCGUAGACCUCCAUUGUCGUCCAAAAAGAGCCAUUAGAGAGCCAAUCGUUUGCCCCUGUGUGGGCUGUUGAUUUGCCAGAGUGGACUGCACCAAGUGAUAGGCUGAUGUGCCCAUCAAUCAUCUAGUCGGUCACUACCACUUUUGAUGUGCCUAUAUGGGGUCGAUUUUGAAUUCGCUUCUAGUGGCUAACUGACAUCCCAUUUGGGGUUAGAAUCAGGUCCCUUUAACACAGGGCACGAAGCAACAGCCCAGAUCUUUAACGUUCUGUCAUGUGUCUUUGGGCUAACAAUAGCAGUCCUCAGCACUACAGCUCCAAUCUGCCCACCACUAGACAAGAAGACAACGUUUGCCAGCCAGCAAUUUAAACCAAACUAAAACAACACAAAAAGUACAUAACAACCUUGUCCUUUUAAAGUCCUCGUUCAGAUAGGUAGGUCCACUUUCACUGUC
Molecule: long non-coding RNA, 573 nt
Organism: Gadus macrocephalus (Pacific cod)
Lineage: Eukaryota; Metazoa; Chordata; Actinopteri; Gadiformes; Gadidae
Exons: 2
Source: RefSeq, a predicted model, not a curated record